This 468-nucleotide ribosomal RNA is filed under the name uncultured bacterium. RNAcentral's name for it is "partial 16S ribosomal RNA". It matches the Rfam family "Bacterial small subunit ribosomal RNA", at positions 28 to 507 of the family's 1533-position model. The record is from RNAcentral.
GACGAACGCUGGCGGCGUGCUUAACACAUGCAAGCCGAACGGAAAGGCCCUGCUUUUGUGGGGUGCUCGAGUGGCGAACGGGUGAGUAACACGUGAGUAACCUGCCCUUGACUUUGGGAUAACUUCAGGAAACUGGGGCUAAUACCGGAUAGGAGCUCCUGCUGCAUGGUGGGGGUUGGAAAGUUUCGGCGGUUGGGGAUGGACUCGCGGCUUAUCAGCUUGUUGGUGGGGUAGUGGCCUACCAAGGCUUUGACGGGUAGCCGGCCUGAGAGGGUGACCGGCCACAUUGGGACUGAGAUACGGCCCAGACUCCUACGGGAGGCAGCAGUGGGGAAUAUUGCACAAUGGGCGGAAGCCUGAUGCAGCAACGCCGCGUGCGGGAUGACGGCCUUCGGGUUGUAAACCGCUUUCGCCUGUGACGAAGCGUGGGUGACGGUAAUGGGUAAAGAAGCACCGGCUAACUACGUG